Molecule: ribosomal RNA, 468 nt
Filed under: uncultured bacterium
Lineage: Bacteria
Description: partial 16S ribosomal RNA
Rfam family: Bacterial small subunit ribosomal RNA
Source: RNAcentral
GACGAACGCUGGCGGCGUGCUUAACACAUGCCAGUCGAACGGAAAGGCCCUGCUUUUGUGGGGUUCUCGAGUGGCGAACGGGUGAGUAACACGUGAGUAACCUGCCCUUGACUUUGGGAUAACUUCAGGAAACUGGGGCUAAUACCGGAUAGGAGCUCCUGCUGCAUGGUGGGGGUUGGAAAGUUUCGGCGGUUGGGGAUGGAUUCGCGGCUUAUCAGCUUGUUGGUGGGGUAGUGGCUUACCAAGGCUUUGACGGGUAGCCGGCCUGAGAGGGUGAACGGCCACAUUGGGACUGCGAUACGGCGCAGACUCCUACGGGAGGCAGCAGGGGGGAAUAUUGCGCAAUGGGCGGAAGCCUGAUGCAGCAACCCCGCGUGCGUGAUGACGGCCUUCUGGUUGUAAACCGCUGUCGCCUGUGACGAAGCGUGAGUGACGGUAAUGGGUAAAGAAGCACCGGCUAACUACGUG